UUCAAAUUUCGGACAAAUUGUAUUAAUUUAUUUAUUUACCCUCUUACUUAUCAGCUUAUUAAUUUACUUUUUUUUUUCUUAAUUUAAAAGUCAUCAAUAUUUAAUACCAAACGUCAUGAAAAAGGCAAACAAGAAAAAACAAAAAAAAACACUGUUUAUUAGUGAGCAUCUCUUAGGCCAACGACCUUCAUUAAACAAAAGGAAAAUUACUCUUAAUGUUCAAGAAAAUUUCAAAUAUUCAAACAAGUUUUUAAUAACAAUCUAGUUACUCGUUGAAUAAAAGAAAAUGGCAAGUGCCAACACCCAUAGAACAGCUUUAUGAAUUUUAAACUGUAUAGCUUUGCAGG
RNAcentral lists this long non-coding RNA (347 nucleotides) under Mytilus galloprovincialis (Mediterranean mussel). The record is from RNAcentral. Lineage: Eukaryota; Metazoa; Mollusca; Bivalvia; Mytilida; Mytilidae.